CUGGAGAAAAUAUGGACAGAAACAGGUGAAGGGCAGCGAGUAUCCACGGAGUUAUUACAAAUGCACACAUCCAAAUUGCCCAGUUAAGAAGAAAGUGGAACGCUCUCAUGAGGGCCACAUAACAGAGAUCAUAUACAAGGGGGCUCACAACCAUCCCAAACCUCCACCUAACCGGCGGGCAGCUAUUGGAUCGUCAAAUCCACUAUUGGAUGUGCAACCAGAUGUCCCAGAGCAAACUGGACUACAAGGUGGUAUGGAUAAUGAUCCUGUUUGGUCAAGUGCACAAAAGGGAACUGCUGCUGGAACUCCUGAGUGGAGACAUGACAAUGUUGAGGUGACAUCUUCAGCUUCCGUGGGUCCUGAAUUUGGCAAUCCCUCUUCCUCGAUGCAGGCUCAGAAUGGCAAUAACUUUGAAUCAGGUGAUGCUGUUGAUGCCUCAUUUACUUUUUCUAAUGAUGAAGAUGAAGAUGAUCGGGCUACACAUGGAAGUGUGGGUUAUGAUGGUGAAGGAGAUGAAUCUGAGUCAAAGAGAAGGAAAAUUGAAACUUAUCCAACUGACAUGGGAGGAGCUACUAGAGCUAUUAGGGAGCCUAGAGUUGUUGUCCAGACUACCAGUGAAGUGGAUAUCCUUGAUGAUGGAUAUCGCUGGCGCAAGUAUGGGCAGAAAGUCGUGAAAGGAAAUCCAAAUCCCAGGUGAUUAAAGCUUACGAAAUUAUGAUUUAUCAUUUUGUCACCUUCUUUGUGCAGUGCAGCUGCCCCCCUCUACAUUUUUCUUAAUUUGUUUUAUUUUUUUUAUUAGAUUUUGAUUGGGAUUUGAACUUGUAAUUUCACACCCUGGGGACAAUUCUAGUAUCAAUGAGCUAGCGCUUUCUCUCUCUAAUUUGGGUUGCACAGUAGGUAACUUACAGUUCAACUUAAAACUGAACAUUUGGUCCAUUGCAGGAGUUAUUACAAGUGUACUAAUGCAGGCUGCACAGUGAGGAAGCAUGUGGAAAGGGCAUCACAUGACCUUAAAUCAGUGAUUACUACAUACGAGGGGAAGCACAAUCAUGAUGUUCCUGCUGCUCGUAAUAGCAGCCAUGUCAACUCUGUGGCCUCUAGUACCGGACCUGUACAAGCUGGCACAGCUGUUCAAACCCAUGUUCAUAGACCGGAACCAUCACAAAUUCACAACAGCAUGACUAGGUUUGAGAGGUCUGCUGCAUAUGGAUCCUUCAGCCUCCCAGGAAGGCAGCAGCUGGGGCCUGCCCCAAGCUUCUCCUUUGGUAUGAAUCAACAAGGCUUGGCCAAUCUGGCAAUGGCUGGAUUGGGUCCCGGCCAACCCAAGAUGCCCGUUAUGCCUGUCCACCCAUAUUUAGCACAGCAACGUCCGAUGAAUGAAAUGGGGUUCCUGCUGCCCAAAGGAGAACCUAAGGUGGAGCCUAUGUCAGAACCAAGUUUGAACCUAUCCAACAAUCCAUCAAUAUAUCAGCAAAUCAUGAGUAGGCUGCCGCUUGGACCGCAAAUGUAAAUUUAUUAUUUUUUUAAUUUAUUUUUUUUCCCCUUCAAAUAUUAAUUUAUCAUUGGUAUUAUUAAUUUUGUUUCUGUUGCAAGGAAAAUAGAAAUAUUUACUUCUUUAUAUAUGGAUUGUCAUUUCACUAGUUGGUCUUCCUUUUCUUGCCUGACUUCUGAACAGUAUCUUAU
RNAcentral lists this unclassified non-coding RNA (1683 nucleotides) under Hevea brasiliensis (rubber tree). Lineage: Eukaryota; Viridiplantae; Streptophyta; Magnoliopsida; Malpighiales; Euphorbiaceae. The record is from RNAcentral.